GCCGGGCACGGUGGCGUGCGCCUGUAGUCCCAGCUACUCGGGAGGCUGAGGCAGGAGGAUCGCUUGAGCCCAGGAGUUCUGGGCUGUAGUGUGCUAUGCCGAUUGGGUGUCCGCACUAAGUUCGGCAUCAAUAUGGUGACCUCCCAGGAGCGGGGGACCACCAGGUUGCCUAAGGAGGGGUGAACCGGCCCAGGUCGGAAACGGAGCAUGUCAAAAAUUAACCUUAAAUUGUGACAUUUUGAAUAAUAAAAAAUUUCCCUUAAACUCAUCAGUUUAAGUGAGCUGAUUUGCUUAUU
Molecule: unclassified non-coding RNA, 296 nt
Organism: Lynx canadensis (Canada lynx)
Lineage: Eukaryota; Metazoa; Chordata; Mammalia; Carnivora; Felidae
Rfam family: Metazoan signal recognition particle RNA
About the family: The signal recognition particle (SRP) is a universally conserved ribonucleoprotein. It is involved in the co-translational targeting of proteins to membranes. The eukaryotic SRP consists of a 300-nucleotide 7S RNA and six proteins: SRPs 72, 68, 54, 19, 14, and 9.
Source: Ensembl